Molecule: long non-coding RNA, 483 nt
Organism: Cebus imitator (Panamanian white-faced capuchin)
Lineage: Eukaryota; Metazoa; Chordata; Mammalia; Primates; Cebidae
Exons: 2
Source: RefSeq, a predicted model, not a curated record
GCCGCCGCGAGCCCACGCGACAAGCACGGAGCGGGUCCACCUGCGGCGAGGGGCCGGUCUCUGCCACGGAGCCCGCCAGAGGGCAAAGCCCCAGACACAGCAAAUACGGAGGCAGCCGGCACUUGGGGAGGUCGAGGCGGGAGGAUCGCUGGAAUCUAGGAGUUCGAGACCCGUCUUGGCAAUAGACGUCUUCCAGUGUGUGGAACGCUGCUAAUGGACAGCCGUUCCUGCCAGCUCUGAUGAUGCUAGGCCUCCUCAGCACUCAGCCCAGGGCAGCCAGGAGAAGUGAAUGAAUGGUGAUUCAGAGGGACAGGAGGAAGCUGCGUGGCAUUUCAGAGAUACUUAUUUUAAAACUGCUGGUGGCCAUGUUUUCUUUUCCUAUCUGAGCUAAUAAUGAGUUUUGAUAUGUGAACAUUUCUUCUCCUUCAUAGGUAAUGUGUUGAUGUGGCACUUUAAUCUUAGAAUAAUCGUUUCUAAAACCAA